AACGAACGCUGGCGGCAUGCCUAACACAUGCAAGUCGAACGAUGCCUUCGGGCAUAGUGGCGCACGGGUGCGUAACGCGUGGGAAUCUGCCCUUGGGUUCGGAAUAACUCAGAGAAAUUUGAGCUAAUACCGGAUGAUGACGUAAGUCCAAAGAUUUAUCGCCCAAGGAUGAGCCCGCGUAAGAUUAGCUAGUUGGUGGGGUAAAGGCCUACCAAGGCGACGAUCUUUAGCUGGUCUGAGAGGAUGAUCAGCCACACUGGGACUGAGACACGGCCCAGACUCCUACGGGAGGCAGCAGUGGGGAAUAUUGGACAAUGGGCGAAAGCCUGAUCCAGCAAUGCCGCGUGAGUGAUGAAGGCCUUAGGGUUGUAAAGCUCUUUUACCAGGGAUGAUAAUGACAGUACCUGGAGAAUAAGCUCCGGCUAACUCCGUGCCAGCAGCCGCGGU
RNAcentral lists this ribosomal RNA (447 nucleotides) under uncultured bacterium. Its description in RNAcentral is "bacterial SSU rRNA". It matches the Rfam family "Bacterial small subunit ribosomal RNA", at positions 29 to 521 of the family's 1533-position model. The record is from RNAcentral.